RNAcentral lists this ribosomal RNA (482 nucleotides) under uncultured bacterium. RNAcentral's name for it is "bacterial SSU rRNA". It matches the Rfam family "Bacterial small subunit ribosomal RNA", at positions 20 to 518 of the family's 1533-position model. The record is from RNAcentral.
UGGCUCAGGACGAACGCUGGCGGCGUGCCUAACACAUGCAAGUCGAGCGAGGAGAUUCCUUCGGGAUGAUCCUAGCGGCGGACGGGUGAGUAACACGUGGGCAACCUGCCUCAUAGAGAGGAAUAGCCUUCCGAAAGGGAGAUUAAUACCUCAUAACAUUGCAGUUUCGCAUGGAACAGCAAUUAAAGGAGCAAUCCGCUAUGAGAUGGGCCCGCGGCGCAUUAGCUAGUUGGUGAGGUAACGGCUCACCAAGGCGACGAUGCGUAGCCGACCUGAGAGGGUGAUCGGCCACAUUGGGACUGAGACACGGCCCAGACUCCUACGGGAGGCAGCAGUGGGGAAUAUUGCACAAUGGGGGAAACCCUGAUGCAGCCAACGCCGCGUGAGUGAUGACGGCCUUCGGGUUGUAAAGCUCUGUCUUCAGGGACGAUAAUGACGGUACCUGAGGAGGAAGCCACGGCUAACUACGUGCCAGCAGCUGC